This 209-nucleotide long non-coding RNA is filed under the name Lathyrus oleraceus (garden pea). RNAcentral's name for it is "Pisum sativum (pea) long non-coding RNA (PSAT_LNC024775)". The record is from RNAcentral. Lineage: Eukaryota; Viridiplantae; Streptophyta; Magnoliopsida; Fabales; Fabaceae.
UCUUGGCAAGGUUUGUGAAGAAAAAUGAAGAAAAGUUGAGAGAAGAAGUUGAAGGAUUUUGUGAUUUUCAGAUCUAGAUCUCAAUUCUGUUAUGAUUAGUCCAAAAGCAGUUAUGAUUUAGCUUAUAUAUGUGAUGUUAAACAUGUUACUAAUCAUGAUUAGUGUAAAUGCUAAAGAUUAAGUGAAUUGGAAGUUUUGGUGCAUUUUAG